Molecule: long non-coding RNA, 251 nt
Organism: Vicia villosa (hairy vetch)
Lineage: Eukaryota; Viridiplantae; Streptophyta; Magnoliopsida; Fabales; Fabaceae
Exons: 3
Source: RefSeq, a predicted model, not a curated record
GAAUUAAUGAUAUGAAAACAAGGAAAGGACUGGCCCUUGUUGAUAUUGUAAGAGAAGUGACAAUAGUUAUUAGGAUCAAGGAGAGAAGGUUGAAUUUUCAGGGCCCCUAAUAUCUCAAAUGCAUACAGUUGAUGAUCUCUUAGAAAGAUACGAGCGCCACAUUCGGCAUACAGUCCGAAGAUCACGGUUUCAGAGAGGAAGAAAUAGGUGAGGUUAAAAUAAGUGAUGAAGAGGAUAAUAUAUCAAUAGGU